UGGGAAUAUUGGACAAUGGGAGAAAUCCUGAUCCAGCAAUCCCGCGUGAGUGAUGAAGGCCUUCGGGUCGUAAAGCUCUUUUAGUAGGGACGAAGGGAAACUUGACGGUACCUACAGAAAAAGCACCGGCUAACUCUGUGCCAGCAGCCGCGGUAAUACAGAGGGUGCAAGCGUUGCUCGGAAUCAUUGGGCGUAAAGCGCGUGUAGGCGGUCUUCUAAGUCUGGUGUGAAAGCCCGGGGCUCAACCCCGGAAGUGCACUGGAUACUGGAAGACUAGAGGACGAGAGGGGAGAUUGGAAUUCCUGGUGUAGGGGUGAAAUCCGUAGAUAUCAGGAGGAACAUCAGUGGCGAAGGCGAAUCUCUGGCUCGUAUCUGACGCUGAGACGCGAAAGCGUGGGGAGCAAAC
RNAcentral lists this ribosomal RNA (406 nucleotides) under uncultured bacterium. RNAcentral's name for it is "bacterial SSU rRNA". It matches the Rfam family "Bacterial small subunit ribosomal RNA", at positions 356 to 773 of the family's 1533-position model. The record is from RNAcentral.